AUUAGGGCUCUCCUCCAUGUUAAGAAAUGAACACCAAGUCGCCAAUAUUCUUUCAAUAUCGCCCAAAAUGAACACCAAGCCUCCGCCCGUGACCGCCAAGAAAAAGAUGAAGAAGAAGUUGGCCACGUCGGUGGAGAAGCCAGUUCUUUCGUUCGUUUAGCAUUGAAAGCAACCAGAGGGUUUGUUCGUUGCCUUUCUUUUAUUUCUCUUCGUGCUCUCAUCUUUCAUCUUCUAUUUGUUCAUUCUAGAGUCACAAGAUGUUGAAGGGUAUGUCUCAAGGGUCGAUUUCGUGAAGAACAGGUCACUCUCUCUAAUCUCAUUCGGGAUGUGAAUUGUGCGGCAAAACGCUCUUGAUAUCUCUUGAGGGCCUUGUCGAGGAUGGGUUGUUGGAAAAACACGAGCUUCCUCAACCAAUGCUGCAGAUAGGCUCAUUUCAAGUGAAGGGAAACUCAAAACACAGCUUGAGAAUUUUUGAAGGGAUCCUGACAUAUCAUGUGAGACACUCAUUUAUUGAAAAUAUAUUAAACUGGGAAAAAUAAAUAAAAUCUAGAAGCUUGUUGUGA
Glycine soja is the source of this 563-nucleotide long non-coding RNA. RefSeq lists it as uncharacterized. The record is from RefSeq and is a predicted model, not a curated record. Lineage: Eukaryota; Viridiplantae; Streptophyta; Magnoliopsida; Fabales; Fabaceae. The transcript is spliced from 3 exons.